This 497-nucleotide ribosomal RNA is filed under the name uncultured bacterium. RNAcentral's name for it is "partial 16S ribosomal RNA". It matches the Rfam family "Bacterial small subunit ribosomal RNA", at positions 28 to 507 of the family's 1533-position model. The record is from RNAcentral.
GAUGAACGCUGGCGGCGUGCCUAAUACAUGCAAGUCGAGCGAACAGACGAGGAGCUUGCUACUCUGACGUUAGCGGCGGACGGGUGAGUAACACGUGGAUAACCUACCUAUAAGACUGGGAUAAAUUCGGGAAACCGGAGCUAAUACCGGAUAAUAUAUUGAACCGCUUGGUUCAAUAGUGAAAGACGGUUUUGCUGUCACUUAUAGAUGGAUCCGCGCCGCAUUAGCUAGUUGGUAAGGUAACGGCUUACCAAGGCGACGAUGGGUAGCCGACCUGAGAGGGUGAUCGGCCACACGGGAACUGAGACGCGGUCCAGACUCCUACGAGAGGCAGCAGUAGGGAAUCUUCCGCAAUGGGCGAAAGCCUGACGGAGCAACGCCGCGUGAGUGAUGAAGGUCUUCGGAUCGUAAAACUCUGUUAUUAGGGAAGAACAAAUGUGUAAGUAACUAUGCACGUCUUGACGGUACCUAAUCAGAAAGCCACGGCUAACUACGUG